GUAAAACAAGAAAAUGAAAUGUUUCUCUUUUCAUUUUUGCUCCCCAGUGAGUUUGAGUUUUAUGCAAUUUCUUGUAUAAGAGGAGAGCCUAAGUCCAUGGAAGCUGGGAUUGAACAUCCUGAAUAUGCAGUUCCUUGGAGAGCCACCAAGAAAAGACCUAAGCAGGAGACAUGAUGUCACCUUCGGGGAGGAGGCUCUUCAGCUGUCUGGCAUGGGAGGAGGAGGAAUGAGGAGGAUCACUGGCCUUGAACCCCCAAGGAGAGGCCAGAGCACCUUUCUGGGACUCAGCCCAGGGAUUAGGAGUCAGACAAGGAAGAAGAGGACAUGAUAGGAAACUGGGAGAGGCUUUGGGCAUCUGAAGAAGAUGGGAAGGAGGGGAGAGAUCACUGAAAGGAGAGGUGUGAUGCUGGGGGAAACCCCUCUGACCUCAUUGUUUUAUCCCCCAGGAAGGGCCUGUGCCUGGCCCACCAGCCACAAUCUGUAGACACAGGUCCUGGGAGAUGAAAUGCCAUCUCUGAGGCCACAGCAACCCCAUGGCUUUCUUCUGUGUCCUUUGAGCUGGUCCCAGCAGGCUGGCCCAUGGCUUCCCUCAGUGAAACACCCUGUCCUGUCCCCUCCCUUCCCAAGCAGCUCUUCUGGCCUCUGUCACUCUGCGGUGGUUUUUAUAAGGCUCAUCUUACUGUGUGGGUUUUAUUAGCAAGUGAUUGCUUCUCACGUCUCAACCAUGAAUCUUUCAGUUGUGGUUUCAUCUUGGGCCUAGCGGACUAUGAAGAAGCAAUUAACGUAUUUCUCAGCCUCCCAUAUCAGGGAGAGUGCAAGGUUUCAGGGCAAGAGGGGAAUUCCUUAUGACCCAACCCACCCAGUCUAGGGGUCUAGAUAGAAAGUCUCUCUUCAAAAUACUAAGCAAACCAUAAGCAUUAUUAUCUAGCUGAGAAACCUGAGGUUCAGAGGGACUUAAGGCACUUGUUGGAGAUGGUGAAAGUGGUAAAGG
Macaca mulatta (Rhesus monkey) is the source of this 991-nucleotide non-coding RNA. NCBI's taxonomy places the organism in Eukaryota, Metazoa, Chordata, Mammalia, Primates, Cercopithecidae. The record is from RefSeq and is a predicted model, not a curated record.